RNAcentral lists this ribosomal RNA (467 nucleotides) under uncultured bacterium. Its description in RNAcentral is "bacterial SSU rRNA". It matches the Rfam family "Bacterial small subunit ribosomal RNA", at positions 330 to 794 of the family's 1533-position model. The record is from RNAcentral.
UCCAGACUCCUACGGGAGGCAGCAGUGAGGAAUAUUGGUCAAUGGCCGAGAGGCUGAACCAGCCAAGUCGCGUGAGGGAAGACGGCCCUACGGGUUGUAAACCUCUUUUGUCGGGGAGCAAAGCGAGUCACGUGUGACUCAUUGAGAGUACCCGAAGAAAAAGCAUCGGCUAACUCCGUGCCAGCAGCCGCGGUAAUACGGAGGAUGCGAGCGUUAUCCGGAUUUAUUGGGUUUAAAGGGUGCGUAGGUGGUUAAUUAAGUCAGCGGUGAAAGUUUGUGGCUCAACCAUAAAAUUGCCGUUGAAACUGGUUGACUUGAGUAUAUUUGAGGUAGGCGGAAUGCGUGGUGUAGCGGUGAAAUGCAUAGAUAUCGCGCAGAACUCCGAUUGCGAAGGCAGCAUGCCGGCUCCACACUGACGCUGAGGCACGAAAGCGUGGGUAUCGAACAGGAUUAGAUACCCUGGUACA